This is a long non-coding RNA of Seriola aureovittata, 1582 nucleotides long. RefSeq lists it as uncharacterized. The transcript is spliced from 4 exons. NCBI's taxonomy places the organism in Eukaryota, Metazoa, Chordata, Actinopteri, Carangiformes, Carangidae. The record is from RefSeq and is a predicted model, not a curated record.
CCGGUCAACAGAAGGUCGCGCAACAACAACAGAACAACAGAACACACAGAGCACCGCCGGUCCGCGGGUCGGUUUGAUUUUCAGGAUCUCUUCACUGUGAGCGGGAAACUGACUGCUUCCUGUCCGGCAGUCUGGACACAGUGCCUCCUCUCAGGUAACAAGCUAAGGGUUAGCUCUGCCGGACCGGCCGUAAGCUCCGGACUAACCGAACUGAAGUGUUCCCGGUCCGCCAGGAGGGACCGAGACCCUUUUAGCUCCGUUAGCUGUUAGCUGUUAGCAUGCAGUGUGCUAACCUCCUGAAGAAGAGGAGCCUGGAGCCGGAGUCGUGGAACUGCAGAGCGAAGCGGGUGUGUUUGGAGGCGGAGGUCCAGACAGCUGAAUGUCCAAUGGAGACUACCCACAGCUUCCCUGUGACCAAUCAGCAAGAAGAAAAGCAGGUCCGAUCCAGACCUCCUCAGCUCUGCUGUCCCAGGUGUCUCGGAGGAGAACCAGGCCACAUCAACCACAUCAUGGGCCAUUGAGCAACAACACUCCUACAGCAGGAGAAGGAGCAGCAGCAGCCCCCCAACCUCCUGACCCCUUCAUGGUCCUCUGUUGUCCUGAAAACCCUCAGAGACCGUCCACACUGCAGCUGUCAACUCAGAUUCCUGCUGCAGGUGUUUCACUAACUCACCUUGACGGACCAAUCUGGUACCUUUUGUCACGUUUUGACUCUUUAACUCCAGGUGACGAGUUCAUAUAUUCCUGCUGAUGUGUUCAAGGACUUUCCAACAUCUGAUGUGAAUCCGUCUCUGUCUCCUCCGUGUGGGUUGAUUUUCUGACCGCAGAGCUCACAGCCCACUCUCAAAUCUCACAUGUCCACGUGUCCUUGAAUGCACCAUCAGGUGGAAUUUGGAAAAAAAAUUCAGCAAAAUGUUACUUUAACGUUGAGCUGUAAGAGCAAUAAUUAGCAUCACUGAUGUAGCCCCGCCCCCUGCUCCUCCUAUCCAAUCAAACUUCUUUCUCCUCCUACCUGAUGUCUGAUUGGUUCACAUGUUGUCAGACACCUGAACACAGCGGCAAUUUGUCUGACAUGCAGUGAACUCAUCACUUUAAUUUGUGUAGUUUUAUGUGUUAAUGAUAUGUAAUCAAUAAUCAGUGACUCCCAGCUAUGAUUAGUGAUUUGACCUUUGACCUCCCCACUGCCUCUGAUGUCAUUGUUCUCAAGAGGCGUUCACUGUCUCUGAGCUUACUCAGUAAAGGGCUAUUACACUGCUUUUAAUGGCAAAUAAUGAAAGGGAUCCACAUCAGGUUUGUUUGUUUACAUCAGGUGUUUACUGUCAACCAAUCAGAUCCUCCCCAAUAUCCACACCUGUGUGUUAAAGGGACAGAGACGUGUUAAUUACAGGGAAACUUCCUGUUUGUAGAUUUCUAUUUUUAUGAAGCAGAGUUUUAUAUUUUAAACCAGUUUAUUUUUAAUGUGACGGAAUGUAAAACAAUUCUAUUUUUGAUUACAUAAUUUCCUGCUUUGGGUCUGACCAAUCAGAGGGCAGCGUUUGCAUUGCAGCUUAAUUUCAAAAUAAAACUUUUGUCUGAAACCUGA